Non-coding RNA from Caenorhabditis elegans, 80 nucleotides. NCBI's taxonomy places the organism in Eukaryota, Metazoa, Nematoda, Chromadorea, Rhabditida, Rhabditidae. The record is from Ensembl.
AGAAAAGAGAAAAAGAUGGAUGAAGCUCCCAGAAGAUUUGAAUUGAAUAGGGUCAUUUUGGGAGAAAAGGACUCGAAUGU